AAAAGUAGAUAGGCUGACAGUGGGC
RNAcentral lists this microRNA (25 nucleotides) under Marchantia polymorpha subsp. ruderalis. Lineage: Eukaryota; Viridiplantae; Streptophyta; Marchantiopsida; Marchantiales; Marchantiaceae. The record is from RNAcentral.